Molecule: transfer RNA, 75 nt
Filed under: Hyphomicrobium sp.
Lineage: Bacteria; Pseudomonadati; Pseudomonadota; Alphaproteobacteria; Hyphomicrobiales; Hyphomicrobiaceae
Also listed under: 8 other names
Description: tRNA-Thr
Rfam family: tRNA
About the family: Transfer RNA (tRNA) molecules are approximately 80 nucleotides in length. Their secondary structure includes four short double-helical elements and three loops (D, anti-codon, and T loops).
Source: RNAcentral
GCUGCCGUAGCUCAGUGGUAGAGCACUCCCUUGGUAAGGGAGAGGUCCUCAGUUCAAUCCUGAGCGGCAGCACCA